Molecule: transfer RNA, 57 nt
Filed under: Capra hircus (goat)
Lineage: Eukaryota; Metazoa; Chordata; Mammalia; Artiodactyla; Bovidae
Also listed under: 1 other name
Rfam family: tRNA
About the family: Transfer RNA (tRNA) molecules are approximately 80 nucleotides in length. Their secondary structure includes four short double-helical elements and three loops (D, anti-codon, and T loops). Further hydrogen bonds mediate the characteristic L-shaped molecular structure. tRNAs have two regions of fundamental functional importance: the anti-codon, which is responsible for specific mRNA codon recognition, and the 3' end, to which the tRNAs corresponding amino acid is attached (by aminoacyl-tRNA synthetases). tRNAs cope with the degeneracy of the genetic code in two manners: having more than one tRNA (with a specific anti-codon) for a particular amino acid; and 'wobble' base-pairing, i.e. permitting non-standard base-pairing at the 3rd anti-codon position.
Source: Rfam by way of RNAcentral
UGGCUCAGUGGGUAAAGCGUCUGCCUCCAAUGCAGGAGACCCGGGUUCGAUCCCUGG